UAGAGUUUGAUCAUGGCUCAGGAUGAACGCUAGCGGGAGGCCUAAUACAUGCAAGUCGAGGGGUAACAGGGUCUUCGGACCGCUGACGACCGGCGCACGGGUGAGUAACGCGUACACAACCUACCUUUAAGAGGGGGAUAGCCUUUGGAAACGAAGAUUAAUACCCCAUGGUAUUAUGAUCCUGCAUGGGAUUAUAAUUA
This 200-nucleotide ribosomal RNA is filed under the name uncultured bacterium. RNAcentral describes it as "partial 16S ribosomal RNA". It matches the Rfam family "Bacterial small subunit ribosomal RNA", at positions 1 to 203 of the family's 1533-position model. The record is from RNAcentral.